UCCGUAGGUGAACCUGCGGAAGGAUCAUUACACACU
This 36-nucleotide ribosomal RNA is filed under the name Peronospora manshurica. Its description in RNAcentral is "partial 18S ribosomal RNA". Lineage: Eukaryota; Oomycota; Peronosporomycetes; Peronosporales; Peronosporaceae. The record is from RNAcentral.